Long non-coding RNA from Etheostoma cragini (Arkansas darter), 334 nucleotides. RefSeq lists it as uncharacterized. The record is from RefSeq and is a predicted model, not a curated record. Lineage: Eukaryota; Metazoa; Chordata; Actinopteri; Perciformes; Percidae. The transcript has 3 exons.
UGGGAGCACCCCUAUAGGCAACUUUUAGCUGUCUGCUGCCAUUUACUUUUGUGGUGCUUCAUUUUUGAAAAGGAAAAAGAUUUUUGAGGCAAUGCAGCUGAGAACACAUACUUAUGAUGCCUUUAGAAGACAUGCCAGGACAUACCUGGAACCAGCUAUGAUCCACAAAUGGACUGAAUUGCAAACAUAAAAGCUUAAAAUGCUCAGUGAGGCAAAGAGUGUCAUCAUCGGGGGUGAUAUGCGAGCAGACUCACCAGGACAUUUUGCAAACUAUGGGAGCUACACAAUGAUGGAUGUGCAGCCCAGUGAAAUUGCAGACAUACAGCUGGUACAG